Molecule: long non-coding RNA, 652 nt
Filed under: Mus musculus (house mouse)
Lineage: Eukaryota; Metazoa; Chordata; Mammalia; Rodentia; Muridae
Description: predicted gene, 48081
Source: RNAcentral
ACAUGACCGGCCUGCCCUCUAGGUCGCGCCGAGUGCAAGUCCUAGCUAUCCCUCUGUGCUCACUAGCCACUGUUUUCUAUGUACUGCCAUCUGUUUUCUCGAACUUUCUCUCCUAGUCAGAAACCAGCAGUCUUGAGUUUCCUGGGGCUCCUCUUUCUUGUCUGGGCUUUUCCAUUUCACUACCCACGAGGGGAUGGGGAACUGAAAACAGCAGUCCUACAAGUCAUCAACUCUGUGUGACGUUGGGUUUCCUGCAGUGCUACCUGUCUUGAGCAGUUCUGUGCCCUGACACAAAGCAAAUCCGGUGCUCUGUGUAAGUGAACGCAGUGGGACCACCGCGCUGACUCAUGAUCUGCGGGCUCUCUUUGGGAGCCCUGGAAGUGUCUCAGGGAGGAAAAUGAUCCCCAAACCCACCUCUCAGGUUCUGGUUCUGCUUGCUCAGACGAAUCUGAGUUCACUGAGUCUGCUGGAGCUUUCCUAAAGCUCCACUAGCCAGUAACUAACUAUGUUGCCAAUACUCCAAUCUCCACUUUCCAGGCACGCAGCCAGGUGGCAGUGAAGAGCUACAAGGGUCUUCCGUGCUCAUAAAAAUGACUGCCUCUAGCUUAAAGAUUCAGAGUAAAUUUCCACCUAUAAAAAGAAGCUGCGACGA